UACCAGCACCCCGAGUGGUCGGGACGAUUAUUGGGCCUAAAGCAUCCGUAGCCGGUUUUACAAGUCCUCCGUUAAAUCCAACUGCUUAACAGAUGGGCCGCGGAGGAUACUAUAAGACUAGGAGGCAGGAGAGGCAAGCGGUACUCAGUGGGUAGGGGUAAAAUCCGUUGAUCCAUUGAAGACCACCAGUGGCGAAGGCGGCUUGCCAGAACGCACUCGACGGUGAGGGGUGAAAGCCGGGGGAGCAAACCGG
RNAcentral lists this ribosomal RNA (253 nucleotides) under uncultured bacterium. RNAcentral's name for it is "partial 16S ribosomal RNA". It matches the Rfam family "Archaeal small subunit ribosomal RNA", at positions 474 to 727 of the family's 1478-position model. The record is from RNAcentral.